Molecule: ribosomal RNA, 369 nt
Filed under: uncultured organism
Description: partial 16S ribosomal RNA
Rfam family: Bacterial small subunit ribosomal RNA
Source: RNAcentral
GAAGGGAGCUAGCGUUGUUCGGAAUCACUGGGCGUAAAGCGCACGUAGGCGGAUUUGUUAGUCAGGGGUGAAAUCCCGGGGCUCAACCUCGGAACUGCCUUUGAUACUGCAAGUCUGGAGUCCGGAAGAGGUGGGUGGAAUUCCUAGUGUAGAGGUGAAAUUCUUAGAUAUUAGGAAGAACACCGGUGGCGAAGGCGGCCCACUGGUCCGGUACUGACGCUGAGGCGCGAAAGCGUGGGGAGCAAACAGGAUUAGAUACCCUGGUAGUCCACGCCGUAAACGAUGGAUGCUAGCCCGUCGGCAAGCUUGCUUGUCGGUGGCGCAGCUAACGCAUUAAGCAUCCCGCCUGGGGAUACGGCCGCAAGGUUA